CGUAUACUCCCUCCGUUCCGAAUUACUUGUCUUGGAUUUGUCUAGAUACGGAUGUAUCUAGACUCAUUUUAGUGCUAGAUACCUCCAUAUCUAGAUAAAUCCAAGACAAGUAAUUCGGAGAAGAGGAAGUAUUAG
Non-coding RNA from Triticum aestivum (bread wheat), 135 nucleotides. NCBI's taxonomy places the organism in Eukaryota, Viridiplantae, Streptophyta, Magnoliopsida, Poales, Poaceae. The record is from Rfam.